UGUUAUGGGUAAGUUGUGCGGGGCGUCUUCGGACGCGCCAGCCCUGUGACUGGUACGCCAACCCGUAUGGCUUGCCCACCUUA
Marinomonas spartinae is the source of this 83-nucleotide non-coding RNA. The record is from Rfam. NCBI's taxonomy places the organism in Bacteria, Pseudomonadati, Pseudomonadota, Gammaproteobacteria, Oceanospirillales, Oceanospirillaceae.